UGCAUCGAUGAAGAACGCAGCAAACUGCGAUAAGUAAUGUGAAUUGCAGAAUUUAGUGAAUCAUCGAAUCUUUGAACGCAAAUGGCGCUCUUGGGCAUUCCCAGGAGCACGUCUGUCUGAGCGUCGUUUCUCACAUCCAGCUCAUCGAGCUGGGCCAUGAGGUGUCCCUUUGCUGCGAAGCGAACGGUCCCUUGAAGUAGAGCGAUCCCGAGUCGUGCGGAAGCCCUUCGUGGCCCGUCCUUCUCGGUGUGGUAGCGAUAUCUCACCGAGAGAGCGUGGCUUCGAAGGUGUCGGAUGCCUUCUCUUACGGAACGACCGGAAAGGAAUCAAAGUAACCUUUGAUUGACCAACCAAGACCUCAGAUCAGGCGAGACUACCCGCUGAACUUAAGCAUAUCAAUAAGCGGAGGA
RNAcentral lists this ribosomal RNA (410 nucleotides) under uncultured fungus. RNAcentral's name for it is "eukaryotic LSU rRNA". The stretch from base 1 to 126 matches the Rfam family "5.8S ribosomal RNA", at positions 29 to 154 of the family's 154-position model. Lineage: Eukaryota; Fungi. The record is from RNAcentral.